RNAcentral lists this ribosomal RNA (459 nucleotides) under uncultured bacterium. RNAcentral describes it as "partial 16S ribosomal RNA". It matches the Rfam family "Bacterial small subunit ribosomal RNA", at positions 338 to 795 of the family's 1533-position model. The record is from RNAcentral.
CCUACGGGUGGCAGCAGUGAGGAAUAUUGGUCAAUGGCCGAGAGGCUGAACCAGCCAAGUAGCGUGAGGGAUGACGGCCCUAUGGGUUGUAAACUUCUUUUGUCGGGGAGUAAAAAGAGUCACGUGUGACUUUUUGAGAGUACUUGAUGAAUAAGCAUCGGCUAACUCCGUGCCAGCAGCCGCGGUAAUACGGAGGAUGCGAGCGUUAUCCGGAUUUAUUGGGUUUAAAGGGUGCGCAGGCGGGUGUUUAAGUCAGCGGUAAAAUUUUGGGGCUCAACCCCGUACUGCCAUUGAAACUGGAAGCCUUGAGUACACGAGAGGUAUGCGGAAUGCGUGGUGUAGCGGUGAAAUGCAUAGAUAUCACGAAGAACUCCGAUUGCGAAGGCAGCAUACCGGCGCGCAACUGACACUGAUGCUCGAAAGCGUGGGUAUCAAACAGGAUUAGAUACCCCAGUAGUC